Molecule: ribosomal RNA, 254 nt
Filed under: uncultured bacterium
Lineage: Bacteria
Description: partial 16S ribosomal RNA
Rfam family: Bacterial small subunit ribosomal RNA
Source: RNAcentral
UACGUAGGACCCAAGCGUUAUCCGGAAUUACUGGGCGUAAAGAGUUGCGUAGGUGGCAUAGUAAGCAAAUAGUGAAAGCGUGCGGCUCAACCGCAUAUCCAUUAUUUGAACUGCUAGGCUAGAGGGCGAGAGAGGUUACUAGAAUUCCUAGUGUAGGAGUGAAAUCCGUAGAUAUUAGGAGGAAUACCGAUGGCGUAGGCAGGUAACUGGCUCGUCCCUGACACUAAGGCACGAAAGCGUGGGGAGCGAACGGG